GCUACGGGAGGCAGCAGUGAGGAAUAUUGGUCAAUGGGCUUACGCCUGAACCAGCCAAGUCGCGUGAGGGAAGACUGCCCUAUGGGUUGUAAACCUCUUUUGUCAGGGAGCAACGCCGGCUACGUGUAGCCGGACUGAGAGUACCUGAAGAAAAAGCAUCGGCUAACUCCGUGCCAGCAGCCGCGGUAAUACGGAGAAUGCGAGCGUUAUCCGAAUUUAUUGGGUUUAAAGGGUGCGUAGGCGGAAUGCCAAAUCAGCGGUAAGAUCGCGGGGCUAAAACUCGCGCAGCCAUUGAAACUGGCGGUCUUGAGUGGGCGAGAAGUAGGCGGAAUGCGUGGUGUAGCGGUGAAAUGCAUAGAUAUCACGCAGAACUCCGAUUGCGAAGGCAGCAUACCGGCGCCCAACUGACGCUGAAGCACGAAAGCGUGGGUAUCGAACAGGAUUAGAUACCCUAGUAGUC
Molecule: ribosomal RNA, 460 nt
Filed under: uncultured bacterium
Lineage: Bacteria
Description: partial 16S ribosomal RNA
Rfam family: Bacterial small subunit ribosomal RNA
Source: RNAcentral